RNAcentral lists this ribosomal RNA (102 nucleotides) under Staphylococcus aureus. Lineage: Bacteria; Bacillati; Bacillota; Bacilli; Caryophanales; Staphylococcaceae. The record is from RNAcentral.
UGGUGACUAUAGCAAGGAGGUCACACCUGUUCCCAUGCCGAACACAGAAGUUAAGCUCCUUAGCGUCGAUGGUAGUCGAACUAUGUCUAAAACGUCAAAAUA